CCUACGGGGGGCUGCAGUGGGGAAUAUUGGACAAUGGGGGCAACCCUGAUCCAGCCAUGCCGCGUGUGUGAAGAAGGCCCUCGGGUUGUAAAGCACUUUCAGUGAGGAAGAACGCCUGGUGGUUAAUACCCAUCAGGAAAGACAUCACUCACAGAAGAAGCACCGGCUAACUCCGUGGCCAGCAGCCGCGGUAAUACGGAGGGUGCGAGCGUUAAUCGGAAUUACUGGGCGUAAAGCGCGCGUAGGUGGCUUGAUAAGCCGGUUGUGAAAGCCCCGGGCUCAACCUGGGAACGGCAUCCGGAACUGUCAAGCUAGAGUGCAGGAGAGGAAGGUAGAAUUCCCGGUGUAGCGGUGAAAUGCGUAGAGAUCGGGAGGAAUACCAGUGGCGAGGGCGGCCUUCUGGACUGACACUGACACUGAGGUGCGAAAGCGUGGGUAGCAAACAGGAUUAGAUACCCUUGUAGUC
Molecule: ribosomal RNA, 466 nt
Filed under: Vreelandella stevensii
Lineage: Bacteria; Pseudomonadati; Pseudomonadota; Gammaproteobacteria; Oceanospirillales; Halomonadaceae
Description: partial 16S ribosomal RNA
Rfam family: Bacterial small subunit ribosomal RNA
Source: RNAcentral